CAUGGGGCUCCCUGCAUGGAGCCUGCUUCUCCUCUGUGUGUGUCUCUCAUGAAUAAAUAAAUAAGAUCUUAAAAAAAAACAAAACAAGAAAAAAACAUGAAGUGAGAGCCGCGAACACACCCAGCAGUCUGCAGGGAGAGGCAGGGCCACGGCUUCCCUGUCCACAGAGGUGCUCCCCUUGGGGCCUGGGAUCCCGAGUGUGCACCUGCCCACGGACACUUGUGUGUGUCGCCUCUGUGCACUCGUGCACACCUGCCCUGUAUGCAUGCUUGUGCGCACAUGCACACAUGUCCCGUGGGUAGAAAUAUGCUCAGGACAGCGACCCAGCCCUGCUUCAGAGCUCGGUGCCAGGACUGGCCGCAGCCUGGUUUUCACAGUGGAGCGGCCCUGACCUGUGGGUCCCCCCUGAAGCCAAGCCCAUGUUUCUGAGUAUGCCGUGGGCCUGUGCACGCGAGGCUCCGUGUGCUCAGGGCGUGCAGGGCGUGGUCAGCCGGGGCACGUGCGUGUUGGUCACCUGUGCUCCUCCCACCGGGAACAGUGUGGUCGGCCCAAGGCAGUCUGGUGGACUCGUUCAGGGCUUGACCUGCUGGAUCGUGCAUCUACGAUUUAUUUAUUGGGCACUUGCUGCGUCCUGGGCUGGCCUGGGCUUGGGGAGGCUGUGCCUCGUCUUCAAGAAACUGCUCUGCUGGGGAAAGGAAGGAGGGAGGGGGGAUGGGGUAGGUGGGGCACGGACGGGAACGUACAGCAAGCGUCGUGGACACGGAUGCCUCAGUGAGGCCUGGGGUGGGGGCGUCCAGGCCUCCCCAGCGUCCGUCUGUGCAGCUCGCAGGAUAGACUGACACAGCGACAGCAACGUUUCCUGAAUCCCUGAGGAUAUGCACACCUGUGGCAGAGGGGCCGCCCAAGCAGGUGCCUUUGGGAAGACAGAGCCAUCCGAUAGUGACCUCCCCUGGCCUGGCCUGCACCUGUGCGCACCUGCUGCAAGCAGGGCCAUGUGAGUUGGCGGUGUUCAGCAUCUUGCUGGUGGAGGGGCAGGCUGAACCCAAGAAGCUUUGUAAAAAAUUCUCUGGGAUGGAAUUUGGAGGUGGAAAGAUCACAUGCAGAUUCAUGUGGUGGAUGGAAACAAGUGACCGGUUCCCAUUAUUUUCAGCAGGUAAGUAGAGGCUAAAGCAGCAGCAAUAGUAACAACACACAGCCCAGACCCUGCUGACAUGUCCUUCCUGUCCUCAAGAGCUUGACAUUUUUUAGGUUGUCCUCCAGGGUUGCUGCCUGGUUGGAAAGAUGCCCUAUAUCAACUAUCAACUCUACAGCCAGCCUAGACCACCGGAAACCUGAGCCCCGGGGGCGAGGCUGGAACCAAGACGUCUCCAAUCCUUGAUGAUGAUGAUCCACUCACCCUGUGGGUCCCUUGUGGUGCUGGUGUACCCAGGUACCUCGUCUUGUUCUUGGGACGUCUGGGAGCUUUGAGCAGCGUCAACUGGGGAUAUGUUUUAGGAUCUGUGUCUUUGAAGGUUUUGCUUCCUUUACAUACAACACAUCUUUCCCCGUUCCUCAUUUCCUGGGGAACGCGCUAGUCCUUUCCCAGCACUGGGCAUUGAGAAGAGAACAACGAGGAGCUGGAAGAAAAGACCUGGCAAAGUCUUCUUUGGGUCAGUUCUGAAGCUGUGCUGUUCUGGGCAUUGCCCUGGGAUUGCAUAAUCCACCCCAGUGCUGACGAAGUCUCACCUGGCACCACUUCAGGUUAAAUAAACUUGGCCCAGGACGUCCAGCUUCCAGAGAAAUUUUGUUUCACUAGUCUUCCUGCUGCUGAACUUCAGACAAAAUUGAAACAAUAAUUAUUUGAAGGCACUGGGAAGUGACCUGAAGCAGAUGAAAAAAACCCUCAAGGUACAUGAGCUUUGAGAGGAGUUUGAAAGAAAGCUUUUCUCCUGAGGGCUCCCUCCAGACCUCACAGUGGGAUGAGCUCUAACAGAAGGCCACAGUAUUGGGCAGAGAGGUCAGAGGCUAGAAUUCCACAUUUGCCAGAUGCCUGGAAAUCUAGGAAGAGAUCUCCAGAAAAGCCCCAUAGGGAGAAACCCCUUAACUUGGGCACAAUAUCUGCUCCAGUCUUUGGGGGAUCCCCGAGGUGUGCAUGUGCAGAGCAAGGCACCAUAAAGCCUAGGAAGAAACAGCAGCUGGAUGGGGGAAGAGCUUGCGGAGAGUCCGGCAUCUGGCUGGUGCUGGGAAGACCAGGUUUGGAGUCAUGUCUCCCCAGGGCAGAGGACCUUCUAAGUGCUGGAAUAAAAUGACUUCAUUAUGCAGCCAGAAGAUAGAAAAAUACUCUAUUUGAACUGCUUGAGAAAACUAUUAACCUAGAGCCCUAUACCCAGCUAAACUGUCUUUCAAGAAUGGUGGCAAAAUAAAGACACUUCAGAUACACGCAAACCAUGAGAUUACUAACAAGACUCUCAUGGAAAGAUUCUACUUGGUGGUUUCAAAAAAGAUAUAAGAUGUUGGUCAGAAGGGAUUGAAGUGGACCAGGUUUCUGUGCUACUCAGGAGCAGGGGAGAGGGGGUACAUGCUAAAAUUUAAAAAAAGGUAACUCAAAAUAGAUGGAAUAAAGGAUAGAUUUGUAAAAACCUUUUACUAGAUUUUUACAAGAUUUUUUUUAGAUUUUAAUUUAUUUAUUCAGAGAGACACAGAGAGAGGGAGAGGCAGAGACACAGGCAGAGGGAGAAGCAGGCUCCUUGCAGGGAGCCCGAUGUGGGACUUGAUCCCAGGACCCUGGGAUCAGGUCCUGAGCCAAAGGCAGAUAGAUGCUCAACCGCUGAGCCACCCAGGCACCCCUGAUUUAACAAAACUUUUAACCCCAAAAUGACACAGCAGAGAGUCAGAGAAUAAAGGCACAGAUUAAGAGGACAAAUAAAUCAGAAACAUGAUAGCUCUGAAUUGGCCCAACCCUGCAAUCUCAUGGGGAUCCAGGGCAAAGACCACCCCCCAGUGGGGGGAUGAGGUCUCUCAAGCUGUCGCUGAUAUUGCCCACCAAUGGUCCCCUGCAGGGGUACAUUUUGGGUGGGGAGUGAGGGUUUUGGAGGCAUGUUUUGCCUGCAGAGGGGAGGGUGGGGGGAACUGGAUUUGGAGAUGGAGACGUGCUCAAGGCGCUCUUGCUGGCACAACUGGGUGAUCACCGCCGUGGAAGGCAGACAGAGCUCACAUCAGAUUCCCUCUAAGCACCCAGGCCUUCAGAGAGAUCCCAUUGCAGGUUUUCUAGAUUCCUCCAGACAUUUCCAUCCCUGAGGGGAACUGAGGGAAAGGUCCAUGCCCUCAGGUGGUACAGAGGGUGCAGGAGAAAAGCAGAGGCUGACACUGAGGUGCUCACAGGGGACCUGCACAAGCAGACAGCAGCAUCCCAGGCCACGUGGGCCAAAGGGCUCACCACCCAAGGGCCCAGCCACCCUUGGAGCCACUUUGUGGGGGAGCAAGCCUUUUCCAAGGGCCGGGAGAGCUUCUGUAAAUGGGUAGGCCCAGGAUUUGGGGAUUUGGGCAUCAGAGGGCAGACGGUCUUGCAGGCUGGUGACGUCUGGGACACUUGGGUCCAGGAAUGUGGGAAGUCAUCAUUUGGUCUGUCCUGUGUCCUGAUGUGGCACUGUGUCCCCAGCACUCCCCAUCUCAAUAUUUACCCCAUGGAGAGGUGAUUGUGUGGUUUUGGAUCUCAGCCCUUGUGCUCUGGUUAUGGGUUCAGGGCUGGCACCCUAAGCCAGGACCUGGCGUGUCCCUGCAUUAAGCCUGGAUCAGGACCAGGUAAUCAGUCCAGGCCUGUGAGCUGCAGUGAGAGGUGUCCCGGGCUUCUUCUCGCCCUUGAAGGGCACGUCCAGAGGUGACCUUCUCCUUCCUCUUUAGACAUCAGCACCUACAGCCUGGCUCAUGGCAGCUGCCUGGUUCUCAGUGCGAG
Molecule: long non-coding RNA, 3931 nt
Filed under: Canis lupus familiaris (dog)
Lineage: Eukaryota; Metazoa; Chordata; Mammalia; Carnivora; Canidae
Description: lncRNA (ENSCAFG00030019507.1)
Source: RNAcentral